GGGUUGUGAGGUUAAGCGACUAAGCGUACACGGUGGAUGCCCUGGCAGUCAGAGGCGAUGAAGGACGUGCUAAUCUGCGAUAAGCGUCGGUAAGGUGAUAUGAACCGUUAUAACCGGCGAUUUCCGAAUGGGGAAACCCAGUGUGAUUCGUCACACUAUCAUUAACUGAAUCCAUAGGUUAAUGAGGCGAACCGGGGGAACUGAAACAUCUAAGUACCCCGAGGAAAAGAAAUCAACCGAGAUUCCCCCAGUAGCGGCGAGCGAACGGGGAGGAGCCCAGAGCCUGAAUCAGUGUGUGUGUUAGUGGAAGCGUCUGGAAAGGCGCGCGAUACAGGGUGACAGCCCCGUACACAAAAAUGCACAUGCUGUGAGCUCGAUGAGUAGGGCGGGACACGUGGUAUCCUGUCUGAAUAUGGGGG
RNAcentral lists this ribosomal RNA (419 nucleotides) under Escherichia coli. RNAcentral's name for it is "partial 23S ribosomal RNA". It matches the Rfam family "Bacterial large subunit ribosomal RNA", at positions 1 to 450 of the family's 2925-position model. The record is from RNAcentral. Lineage: Bacteria; Pseudomonadati; Pseudomonadota; Gammaproteobacteria; Enterobacterales; Enterobacteriaceae.